CAUUGAUUCUUUCUCAUUUUCAUGAGCUUAUCUAUCUUCGAUCUUUGAGGCUGCUGAUCUUUGGAAGGGGUUUUUGUGGGGCCAUUUUUGUGGAUGUUUUUGUUGUUGUUGUUUUCUGUUUGUUUGUUUUUCUUUCAACAGUCAGACCCCUCUUCCUUAGGGCUGCCGCAGUUUGCUGGGGGUCCACUCCAGACCCUAUUCACUUGGUCCCUCCCCUACCUGGAGGUGUCACCAGUGGAAGCUGCAGAACAGCAAGGAUGGCUGCCAGCUCCUUCUUCUUUGAGCUCCAUCCCAGAGGGGCACUGAUGUGAUGCCAGCAGGAACACUCCUGUAUAAGUUGAUCUGAAGGUCCCAGCAAGGAGCCGACUCACAGAAGAAUGCAGUUUUCACAUCGUGAUGAUUUAAUCUUCCUUGACCUGACCAAUUGACAACCCCAAUUCUCCAGAACCUCACCCGCCACAAUCCCCUUAAAAACCCUGGCCCAGAACCCCUCAAGCAGACAGAUUUGAAGCUUGAGGAUUCCUUCAUCUCUUUGCCCAAUGGCAUUGUGAUUAUUAAACUCUUUUUCUGCUGCAAAUUA
Long non-coding RNA from Homo sapiens (human), 580 nucleotides. RefSeq lists it as uncharacterized. The record is from RefSeq and is a predicted model, not a curated record. Lineage: Eukaryota; Metazoa; Chordata; Mammalia; Primates; Hominidae. The transcript has 2 exons.